Molecule: ribosomal RNA, 465 nt
Filed under: Enterococcus faecalis
Lineage: Bacteria; Bacillati; Bacillota; Bacilli; Lactobacillales; Enterococcaceae
Description: partial 23S ribosomal RNA
Rfam family: Bacterial large subunit ribosomal RNA
Source: RNAcentral
GGUUAAGUUAGAAAGGGCGCACGGUGGAUGCCUUGGCACUAGGAGCCGAAGAAGGACGGGACUAACACCGAUAUGCUUUGGGGAGCUGUACGUAAGCGUUGAUCCAGAGAUUUCCGAAUGGGGGAACCCACUAUCUUUAGUCGGAUAGUAUCCUUACGUGAAUACAUAGCGUGAGGAAGGCAGACCCAGGGAACUGAAACAUCUAAGUACCUGGAGGAAGAGAAAGAAAAAUCGAUUUCCUGAGUAGCGGCGAGCGAAACGGAAAGAGCCCAAACCAAGAAGCUUGCUUCUUGGGGUUGUAGGACACUCUAUACGGAGUUACAAAAGAAAGUUAUAAAUGAAGCGGUCUGGAAAGGCCCGCCAAAGACGGUAACAGCCCGGUAGUUGAAAUGGCUUUCCCUCCAGAGUGGAUCCUGAGUACGGCGGAACACGUGAAAUUCCGUCGGAAUCCGGGAGGACCAUCUC